Molecule: long non-coding RNA, 441 nt
Filed under: Zostera marina
Lineage: Eukaryota; Viridiplantae; Streptophyta; Magnoliopsida; Alismatales; Zosteraceae
Description: long non-coding RNA (ZMAR_LNC001976)
Source: RNAcentral
UUGUCUUAUAAUGUAUAUCAAAAUUGGCUUCAAUCAAAUAUUUUAUCAAUGAGCAUAAAUUACAUGUUAUUUCUCCUUUAUGAUUGACUAACACUCUUAUAAGCAAGACGUCACAUUUGGUCAACCACACAAAUCGAAUUUGUGAUUAAAGCUCAAUGAGGUAUGAAAUUUUAUUUUCUCCACAAAUUAGAUAUGUCCUAUCAUUAAGGGGGAGAUACUUCAUAGGUAUCUAUUUUUAACUUUGUCGAUACCUUAUUGUUUUAAGGGGGAGAAAUCAUGCAUGAUCCACUGCUUUUAAAUUGAAUAUUAUGGGUCAAUAAUUCAGGGGGAGCAUGCUCAUAAAGGUAAAAUAGAAUAUUGACUAGACAUGAGUUAAAACAUAUAUGCCAUCGACAAAGGGGGAGAAUGUAGAAUCAAAAUUGUCGACAUAGGAUUAUAUUU